Molecule: unclassified non-coding RNA, 312 nt
Filed under: plant metagenome
Description: partial contains 5.8S ribosomal RNA, internal transcribed spacer 2, and large subunit ribosomal RNA
Rfam family: 5.8S ribosomal RNA (bases 1-105)
Source: RNAcentral
GAAAUGCGAUAAGUAAUGUGAAUUGCAGAUUUCCGUGAAUCAUCGAAUCUUUGAACGCACAUUGCGCCCUCUGGCAUUCCGGGGGGCAUGCCUGUCCGAGCGUCAUUACGCACCCUCAAGCCCGGCUUGUGUGAUGGGCCCUGGCGUCUCGUUCGCGAGACGGGCCCGAAAGGCAGCGGCGGCGUCGACCCGAUGAGCCCGAGCGUAUGGGGACUUUUGUCACACGUUUGCGGUGCGGACCGGCGCCUGCUUGACUUUUCUGAUUAUCCAGGUUGACCUCGGAUCAGGUAGGGAUACCCGCUGAACUUAAGC